GACCUGGUGGUCAUUGCGGGGCGGCCGCACCCGUUCCCAUUCCGAACACGGCCGUGAAACGCCCCUGCGCCAAUGGUACUCCGUCUCAAGACGCGGGAGAGUAGGUCGCUGCCAGGUCU
Molecule: ribosomal RNA, 119 nt
Filed under: Neorhizobium galegae
Lineage: Bacteria; Pseudomonadati; Pseudomonadota; Alphaproteobacteria; Hyphomicrobiales; Rhizobiaceae
Source: RNAcentral